This is an RNA transcript of Capra hircus (goat), 939 nucleotides long. It is a transcript of the gene named biliverdin reductase A pseudogene, with no coding region annotated. The record is from RefSeq and is a predicted model, not a curated record. The transcript has a single exon. NCBI's taxonomy places the organism in Eukaryota, Metazoa, Chordata, Mammalia, Artiodactyla, Bovidae.
GGCUUGGAGAGCUUCAGCUUUGUGCCCAGCGGCAGCUUCUACAGAGAGACCAAGAUGAACACAGAGCCUGAGAGGAAGUUUGGUGUGGUGGCAGUCGGCGUUAGCAGAGCCGGCUCCGUACGGAUCUGGGACCUGCGGAAUCCACACGCUUCCUCAGAGUUCCUGAACCUGAUUGGCUUCGUGUCCAGACGAGAGCUGGGGAGCAUUGACGAGGUGCCGCAACUUUCUCUGGAAGAUGCUCUUUCCAGUCAAGAGGUCGAGGUUGCUUUUAUCUGCAGUGAGAGCUCUAGCCACGAGGACUACAUCAGGCAAUUCCUGAAUGCUGGAAAGCAUGUCCUUGUGGAAUACCCCAUGACACCGUCUUGGGUGGCAGCUAAGGACCUGUGGGAGUUGGUCGAGCAGAAAGGGAAAGUCUUGCAUGAGGAGCAUGUUGAACUCUUGAUGGAGGAGUUUGCAUUCCUGAAGAAAGAAGUGGUGGGGAAGGACCUGCUGAAAGGGUCUCUCCUCUUCACAGCUGCCCCAUUGGAAGAAGAGCGGUUUGGCUUCCCUGCAUUCAGCGGCAUCUCUCGCCUGACCUGGCUGGUCUGCCUCUUCGGGGAGCUUUCUCUCAUGUCGGCCACUUUGGAAGAGUGAAAGGAAGACCAGUAUGUGAAGAUGACCGUGUGCUUGGAGACAGAGAACAAAAGCCCGCUGACCUGGACUGAAGAGAAAACACCUGGCCUAAAGCGACGUUUAAACUUCCAUUUCAGAUCUGGGUCCCCGGAGAAUAUGCCCAACGUAGGCAUCGAUAAGAAUAUUUUCCUGAAAGAUCAGAAUAUAUUUGUCCAGAAACUCCUGGGCCAGUUCUCGGAAGAGGAGCUGGCUGCCGAGAAGAAACGCAUCCUGCACUGCCUGUGGCUCGCAGGAGAGAUCCAGAAACACGGCUGCUCGAAGCAGUGA